Molecule: long non-coding RNA, 148 nt
Organism: Penaeus monodon (black tiger shrimp)
Lineage: Eukaryota; Metazoa; Arthropoda; Malacostraca; Decapoda; Penaeidae
Exons: 3
Source: RefSeq, a predicted model, not a curated record
ACCUGGAGAGCAACCGCAUCUCAAAUGUCGUCAAGAGAAGUCCUUGAAGUUCGUGUGGAACAGCUUUUACUUAAUUACAAUCACAUCGAGAGUGUGGAGGAGGAAGCCUUCUCUGGGUCGGCCAUUGGAAGACUGAGCUUCAGGGCAA